UGAGUAACCUGCCCUUCACUCUGGGAUAACUCCGGGAAACCGGGGCUAAUACCGGAUAUGACUUCUGACCGCAUGGUUGGGGGUGGAAAGUUUUUCGGCCUGGGAUGGGCUCGCGGCCUAUCAGCUUGUUGGUGGGGUGAUGGCCUACCAAGGCGACGACGGGUAGCCGGCCUGAGAGGGCGACCGGCCACACUGGGACUGAGACACGGCCCAGACUCCUACGGGAGGCAG
This 231-nucleotide ribosomal RNA is filed under the name uncultured bacterium. RNAcentral's name for it is "partial 16S ribosomal RNA". It matches the Rfam family "Bacterial small subunit ribosomal RNA", at positions 118 to 351 of the family's 1533-position model. The record is from RNAcentral.